AUCCAAAAAAUUUUGAAGAUCCGUUAAGUUUCAAUCCAGAUAGGUGGAAUGGAAAACCAAAGCCUUGGACAAACUUGAUCUUUGGAGGGGGACCAAGGAUAUGUCCAGGAAAUAUGCUUGGUCGAAUGCAAAUUGCCAUUUUCAUCCACCAUUUGGUCGUAGGGUACAGGUGGGAACUGGUCAAUGCUGAUGCAGGAAUGAGUUAUUUG
Coffea arabica (coffee) is the source of this 209-nucleotide long non-coding RNA. RefSeq lists it as uncharacterized. NCBI's taxonomy places the organism in Eukaryota, Viridiplantae, Streptophyta, Magnoliopsida, Gentianales, Rubiaceae. The record is from RefSeq and is a predicted model, not a curated record.